UGAGCUCGGGAAAGGUGACAACAAAACAAAUAGAGACACAAAGUAAUCAGAGGGACAGUCAGACUGGUCAGAGAACUGGGAAGGGUGAGGGAAGGAGAGAGAGGGAAAGGAAGGGUUACUUAAAGUUAGUG
This is a long non-coding RNA of Amblyraja radiata (thorny skate), 131 nucleotides long. RefSeq lists it as uncharacterized. NCBI's taxonomy places the organism in Eukaryota, Metazoa, Chordata, Chondrichthyes, Rajiformes, Rajidae. The transcript has 3 exons. The record is from RefSeq and is a predicted model, not a curated record.